This 204-nucleotide unclassified non-coding RNA is filed under the name Hevea brasiliensis (rubber tree). Lineage: Eukaryota; Viridiplantae; Streptophyta; Magnoliopsida; Malpighiales; Euphorbiaceae. The record is from RNAcentral.
GGCUUCAAGUGCUUUAUUCUCUGCAACCAACGAACUCUGUGUUGCUUCUGUUAAAGCUAAGUCAGCAUCAGGGGAUAUGCAAAGCACCUUGCUUGCAAUGAGGGAUUGUUCCUAUGAAUUAAGUGUAGCACUAUCUGCAUUUGGGUCCAUUACAAGGGGGCGUACUGCUUUGACAUCUGAAUGUGGUUCGAUGCUUGAAGAGGU